Molecule: unclassified non-coding RNA, 431 nt
Filed under: Kalymmatonema ethiopiense ETH2.2.M10
Lineage: Bacteria; Bacillati; Cyanobacteriota; Cyanophyceae; Nostocales; Scytonemataceae
Description: 16S-23S ribosomal RNA intergenic spacer
Source: RNAcentral
UAUAGGGAGACCUACUUUUCAGUGAGCAGUGACCAAUAAACAGUGAGCAAAAAAACUGGUAACUGGUAACUGAUAAUUGAACACUGAAAAGACAUCCCGAGGUCGGUCGAGGAAAAGUUAUUGGCUUUCAAACUAUAUAUUGGUUCGAUAGAAAUUGCAAAAACGAGCAAUAUGCAUACAGUUGUGAUUGGGCAAACAGUCAAAUCGAUUGUUAAACUCAAAAACAGUGGUUGCAAAUGUAAUGUAUUGUCAGCAAGCAAUACCACAUUCCAAAAAUUGCUCCAGCAAUCUUGCUUCAACGAGUAAGACUGCUGGAUGAUAUCCAGCCAGAACCUUGAAAACUGCAUAGUAACGCGAAGCAGGUAGACACAGACAUUGUAUGAUUGCAUAAAUGAAAGUGUUUGCUGAAAAGAUAUCACCAAUUGUUGAGU